This 438-nucleotide ribosomal RNA is filed under the name Triticum aestivum (bread wheat). Its description in RNAcentral is "partial small subunit ribosomal RNA". The record is from RNAcentral. Lineage: Eukaryota; Viridiplantae; Streptophyta; Magnoliopsida; Poales; Poaceae.
AUGUGUAGACCUGAUGGCAUCAACAUCCCAGAUGGCAAGUUCUACCUAGGAGAUGCUGGCUAUGCAUGUCGGCCAGGUGUUCUUCCGUCCUUCAGGAAAACCAGGUACCAUCCAAAUGAGUUCUCUGGUAGGAACUAUCCUAGGACUCAUCGAGAACUGUUCAAUCUUAGAGACUCCAGCCUUAGAGUAAUGGUUGAGAGGGCAUUUGGAGCUCUGAAGAAUAGGUUUAAUAUCCUGGAUUAGAAGCCAUUCCAUCCUUACCCUACCCAAGUUAAGCUUGUUCUUGCAUGUUGCAUCCUUCACAACUGGAUCCUACAAUGGGGUUGUGAUGAACUUGUGCCAGAGGAGGAAGAUGUGAAGCUUGAUGAUCCGCUCAGCUCCUUCCAUGUGGAAAAAAGGUUGGAGUGGGCUCAGGCUAUGUGGGAUAACAAAGGUUAG